CCUGGCAUGACUGCUUCUAACAGCAACAUUUCAUUAAGUUUUUAAGUGCCUGGCAAUUGCUUGGUUACAACCGGCGUCUGCUCCAUGGCAGCCUCUUCCUGAAGAAAUGCUGAUGCAGUGUCAUGCUGGUGUGUGUCCUCCUUACAGAAUGCCUGAACAGUUCCAUUGACUCAAAGUGAAGAUCAAAAGAACCAAAUGACAGCAAUAGCUAAGUGUAAUCAUCAGUAACCCUGUGUUCUAUCCACGGGUCAUCUUUGUAUGAGAGCUGAAACAAGAAACUGAGGGUCACCUUAUUUGACCUUAGCUUGGGACGUGUGCAAGGAGUGACAGAGUUUUCACUACUGUGUGUCUAUCCAGGAGCCACCUUGAAAGCUCCACAAGUAUUAAUUUGGGGAUUACAAAGACAUUUUAGCAAGU
Molecule: non-coding RNA, 417 nt
Filed under: Pongo abelii (Sumatran orangutan)
Lineage: Eukaryota; Metazoa; Chordata; Mammalia; Primates; Hominidae
Source: RNAcentral